Long non-coding RNA from Acipenser ruthenus (sterlet), 1595 nucleotides. RefSeq lists it as uncharacterized. The transcript has 4 exons. The record is from RefSeq and is a predicted model, not a curated record. Lineage: Eukaryota; Metazoa; Chordata; Actinopteri; Acipenseriformes; Acipenseridae.
GAACGUUACUGAAAGAAAGAUUUAGAGUCGUUUGAAUUGAAGUUCUCUUUUAUAGCGAUUUAAACUCUUUCCAAAAGUAUAUACGGUUGAACGUAACUGUAAUAAUUUAAUAGCACAGUAUAAAAAUUUAAGCAAGAUUCAUGACGAACAUUGUAUUGAUACAGCAGCAGUUUAAAAAAUGGACAGCGUUAGAUUUUGAAAAGUCACAUUUGUCAAUUGUUCCGUUUUUAGUGAAGUAUAUAGAAAACUAUAACGCAGUGUGUAAUUAAAUAUGUUAACGUAACAUUAUUCAGCAGGGUUCAUUCGACUUUAUAAAGCAAAAUUAGUUACUACUCAUUUCAACCACUUGAAAGCCGUUCUACUAAACGGCCACACGAAAGGAGCAGCAUUGGAUAGGAAAUGAAAGCUCGCUGAGGUUUUCUGCCCAUUGUAACAGCACAGGACACCGCAGCCGCUUGUCGGAGCUGCUCCGAAUUAACGAGGUCCAACAAGUAUAUUUAAUGUAAUAUGUUAGUGUGUGGAAGAAGGAAGCCAAGCGAGGAGGCGUUUGCUAUUGUUUUGCAAAGAAGACUACGAGUGACAGAGCUCGUUAAACCAGGUCUGUGAGGAUGAGAAGGUCUCCACAGUCUGGAGUCUGGUCUCUGACAGGCUCGGCACACCUGUCAAUCAACAGGGACUCCUCUACAAAGGCAAGGCGCUGGCAGAUGAGCACAGACUGUCACACGACUCCAUCGGCCCCGAUUCGAAGCUGAACUCGUUGUCACACCCCCAACAGAGAAAGUGUCACCCGAGCAAGAACAGCACUCCCUGUGUCACCCCUCCUCACCCCUCGUCUCACACAGUGAGAGGCUGGAGCAGCAACACAAGGAUUACGAGCGGAGGCUGCGCUUGUUGAGCCUGGAUGAUAUGGAGCGGCUGGCGACCCGCAUGCUUCACCCAGAGGCUGUGGAGUGCAUGGAGCUGUCCUUCCUGGACUGAGGAAUACUGCUGCUGCCCUCUCCCCUCUCUCCUCCCCUCUCUCCUCCCCAGGGAGGGGAGGUGAGGAGAGGGAGGAGAGAGAGGAACCUGCUACUGAGGGAGCUGCAACUCUGAGGAGAGGGAGGAGAGGGAAGAGAGAGGAACCUGCUACUUAAGGAGCUGCAGCUCUGAGGAGAGGGAAGAGAGAGGAACCUGCUACUGAGGGAGCUGCAGCUCUGAGGAGAGAGGGAGGAGAGAGAAGAACCUGCUACUGAGGGAGCUGCAGCUCUGAGGAGAGAGAGGGAGGAGGGAGAGGAACCUGCUACUGAGGGAGCUGCAGCUCUGAGGAGAGAGAGGGAGGAGGGAGAGGAACCUGCUACUGAGGGAGCUGCAGCUCUGAGGAGAGGAGAGAGAGAGGAGAUUAGAGAGAGGAACCUGCUACUGAGGGAGCUGCAGCUCUGAGGAGAGGAGAGAGAGGAACCUGCAGCUCUUAGGAGGAGAUCAAAUCUUUCUUCAGGUGUUGUUAUUUUGAUAUAGUUUUGAGGUUGAAUAUUUCAGUCCAGGUUUGAAGCACUCACUCUUCAUUACUGAUAUUUAAAUCCAGAAGAAACACAAAAUAAAUAAAAAUCUGUGUUGAA